UCCAGAUGUUUCCCUGGAAUGCUCCCUUGGUUACUGAGGCAUCAUCGGUAAAAAGAUAGAUGCUUUCUCCUGAGUGCUGGUAGUCUUCGCCUUGGAGAACACCAAAUACAAGGAGAGAGAAAAAUUUAAAAGAUAAUAAAAGAAAAUGAAAUGAAUAUGGAACACAUAUCUGGCAGCCCUGAGUACCAAGGAAAGCAUAAUUGAAAGGUUGGCAAUUCAUAUAUCAAUCCAGGGUUAUAGCUGGGGCUACAAAUCCACUGCUCCUGGAAGCCAUUUUUUCCUCCAUUUUGUUGUUGUUGCUGCUGCUGUUGUUGUUGCUGCUGCUGCUGUUGGACAAAACAGAGAGAAAUCAAGAGAGGGGGAGACAGAAAGGGAGAGAGGAAGAUAGACACCUGCAAACCUGCUUAACCACUUGUGAAGGUGUGGAGCCGGGGGCUCAGACCAAGAUCAUUGCACCCGUCCUUGAGCUUCUCACCACGUGCACUUAACCCACUGCACUACUGCCCAGCCCUUAGUCUUACAAACUUGAAACAAACUAUUAAUAACAAAUAAAAAAAUUUAAAAAAUAAAAUGCCAUCAUAAACACUGGUUGCAUGGAUGUUUCAUAUCCAGACAUGGCUUUUUUCACUUUAUAUCUCAAUUGUGCAUUAAUUCAUAAUUCUGGGAAUUGUGAUACAUUUUAGAAGACUAAUUAAUUUAAAUUUACACGCUAAGGAAAGCUCAAUGAACUCAAGGUACAGGAGUAAAAUAUCAUGGACAUCCCCAAUCCAGACAUUAGUGUGACGCAAACCAAAAGAACACCCAUUCACUAAGAGCAUUGCUCUGGUUGAUGACAGUAUCUGAGAUUGAACCUAGGACUUCAGAGCCUCAGGCACGAAAGUAUUUUGGCAUAACCACAAUUCUGUCUCCCCAGAUAAUUUUUUAUCAUCUUCAGAACUAUGCCACUCUAAAUAAAUAGAUUUAAUUUUUGGCAAAGCAAGUUGUCUUCCCUGGCCUUUAUUUUAUUUUAUUUUAUUUUAUUCUUUUCUUUUUCUUGUGGUGCUGGGACCUCCAGCAUGCAUGAUUUCAGUGUUGUUUUUUUUAACUUAUUUCUAAAAUAAAAAAUAUCAACAAGCCCAUAGGAUAAG
Long non-coding RNA from Erinaceus europaeus (western European hedgehog), 1127 nucleotides. RefSeq lists it as uncharacterized. The transcript has 3 exons. Lineage: Eukaryota; Metazoa; Chordata; Mammalia; Eulipotyphla; Erinaceidae. The record is from RefSeq and is a predicted model, not a curated record.